GCCAGGCACAGUGGCUUAUACCUGUAAUCCCAGCACUUUGGGAGGCCAAGGCGGGCAGAUCACGAGGUCAGGAGUUUGAGACCAGCCAGGCCAAUAUGGUGAAACUGCAUCUCUACAAAAAAUACAAAAAUUAGCCAGGCGUGGUGGCACAUGCCUGUAGUUUCAGCUACUUGGGAGGCUGAGGCAGAAGAAUCUCUUGAACCUGGCUAAUUUUUGUAUUUGUAGUAGAGAUGUGGUUUCACCGUGUUGGCCAAGCUGGUCUUGAACUCCUGACCUCAUGAUUCGCCUGCCUC
Unclassified non-coding RNA from Chlorocebus sabaeus (green monkey), 293 nucleotides. It matches the Rfam family "Metazoan signal recognition particle RNA". From Rfam's summary of the family: The signal recognition particle (SRP) is a universally conserved ribonucleoprotein. It is involved in the co-translational targeting of proteins to membranes. The record is from Ensembl. NCBI's taxonomy places the organism in Eukaryota, Metazoa, Chordata, Mammalia, Primates, Cercopithecidae.